RNAcentral lists this ribosomal RNA (497 nucleotides) under uncultured bacterium. RNAcentral's name for it is "partial 16S ribosomal RNA". It matches the Rfam family "Bacterial small subunit ribosomal RNA", at positions 28 to 507 of the family's 1533-position model. The record is from RNAcentral.
GAUGAACGCUGGCGGCGUGCCUAAUACAUGCAAGUCGAGCGAACGGACGAGAAGCUUGUUUCUCUGAUGUUAGCGGCGGACGGGUGAGUAACCCGUGGAUAACCUACCUAUAAGACUGGGAUAACUUCGGGAAACCGGAGCUAAUACCGGAUAAUCUUUUGAACCGCAUGGUUCAAAAGUGAAAGACGGUCUUGCUGUCACUUAUAGAUGGAUCCGCGCUGCAUUAGCUAGUUGGUAAGGUAACGGCUUACCAAGGCAACGAUGCAUAGCCGACCUGAGAGGGUGAUCGGCCAGACCGGAAACGAGACACGGUCCAGACUCCUACGGGAGGCAGCAGGAGGGAAGCUUACGCAAUGGGCGAAGGCCUGAAGGAGCAACGCCGCGUGAGUGAUGAAGGUCUUCGGAUCGUAAAACUCUGUUAUUGGGGAAGACCAUAUGUGUAAGUAACUGUGCACAUCUUGACGGUACCUAAUCAGAAAGCCACGGCUAACUACGUG